GACGAACGCUGGCGGCGUGGAUUAGGCAUGCAAGUCGGACGAGAAAGUCGCUUUCGGGUGAUGAGUACAGUGGCGGACGGGUGAGUAACGCGUAGAUCAUCUACCUUUAAGUUGGGGACAACUCAGGGAAACCUGAGCUAAUACCGAAUGUGGCUGCAAAGCUAAAGGGGGCUUCGGCUCCCGCUUAGAGAUGAGUCUGCGUCCAAUUAGUUAGAUGGUGAGGUAAUGGCUCACCAUGGCGAUGAUUGGUAGGCGGCUUUAACGAGUGGUCGCCCACACUGGGAUUGAGAUACGGCCCAGACUCCUACGGGAGGCAGCAGUCGAGAAUAGUCUACAAUGGGGGAAACCCUGAUAGUGCGACGCCGCGUGAACGAAGAAGCUUUUCGGAGUGUAAAGUUCUUUUCUGUAUGAGCAAUGCUUUAUUGUUUAAGAGAUAAUAGAGAGAGAUAUUAGUACAGGAAUAAGCCACGGCUAACUCCGUGCCAGCAGCCGACGG
Molecule: ribosomal RNA, 496 nt
Filed under: uncultured bacterium
Lineage: Bacteria
Description: bacterial SSU rRNA
Rfam family: Bacterial small subunit ribosomal RNA
Source: RNAcentral